GAUGAAGAACGCAGCAAAAUGCGAUACUUGGUGUGAAUUGCAGAAUCCCGUGAACCAUCGAGUUUUUGAACGCAAGUUGCGCCCGAAGCCUUUUGGCCGAGGGCACGUCUGCCUGGGCGUCACGCAUCGCGUCGCCCCCCACAAUUCUCCGUAAAGGGAACGUGUGUUUUGGGGGCGGAUAUUGGUCUCCCGUGCUCAUGGCGUGGUUGGCCGAAAUAGGAGUCCUUUCGAUGGACGCACGAACUAGUGGUGGUCGUAAAAACCCUCGUCUUUUGUUUCGUGCUGUUGCUCGCAAGGUAAACUCUUUAAAAACCCCAAUGUGUCGUCUCUUGACGACGCUUCGACCGCGACCCCAGGUCAGGCGGAACUACCCGCUGAGUUUAAGCAUAUCAAUAAGCGGAGGA
RNAcentral lists this unclassified non-coding RNA (404 nucleotides) under soil metagenome. RNAcentral's name for it is "partial contains 5.8S ribosomal RNA, internal transcribed spacer 2, and large subunit ribosomal RNA". The stretch from base 1 to 122 matches the Rfam family "5.8S ribosomal RNA", at positions 35 to 154 of the family's 154-position model. The record is from RNAcentral.